AAUGAACGCUGGCGGCAGGCCUAACACAUGCAAGUCGAACGGAUCCUUCGGGAUUAGUGGCGGACGGGUGAGUAACGCGUGGGAACAUACCAUUUGGUACGGAAUAGCCUCGGGAAGCUGGGAGUAAUACCGUAUGUGGUCGAGAGACGAAAGAUUUAUCGCCAAAGGAUUGGCCCGCGUUGGAUUAGGUAGUUGGUGGGGUAAUGGCCUACCAAGCCGACGAUCCAUAGCUGGUUUGAGAGGAUGAUCAGCCACACUGGGACUGAGACACGGCCCAGACUCCUACGGGAGGCAGCAGUGGGGAAUCUUAGGCAAUGGGGGAAACCCUGAUCUAGCCAUGCCGCGUGAUCGAUGAAGGCCUUAGGGUUGUAAAGAUCUUUCAGGUGGGAAGAUAAUGACUGUACCACCAGAAGAAGCCCCGGCUAACUCCGUGCCAGCCGCCGCGGUAA
RNAcentral lists this ribosomal RNA (449 nucleotides) under uncultured bacterium. Its description in RNAcentral is "partial 16S ribosomal RNA". It matches the Rfam family "Bacterial small subunit ribosomal RNA", at positions 29 to 523 of the family's 1533-position model. The record is from RNAcentral.